UGUUAGCGGCGGACGGGUGAGUAACACGUGGGUAACCUGCCUGUAAGACUGGGAUAACUCCGGGAAACCGGGGCUAAUACCGGAUGGUUGUUUGAACCGCAUGGUUCAAACAUAAAAGGUGGCUUCGGCUACCACUUACAGAUGGACCCGCGGCGCAUUAGCUAGUUGGUGAGGUAAUGGCUCACCAAGGCAACGAUGCGUAGCCGACCUGAGAGGGUGAUCGGCCACACUGGGACUGAGACACGGCCCAGACUCCUACGGGAGGCAGCAGUAGGGAAUCUUCCGCAAUGGACGAAAGUCUGACGGAGCAACGCCGCGUGAGUGAUGAAGGUUUUCGGAUCGUAAAGCUCUGUUGUUAGGGAAGAACAAGUACCGUUCGAAUAGGGCGGUACCUUGACGGUACCUAACCAAAAAGCCACGGCUAACUACGUGCCACCACCCGCGGUAAUACGUAGGUGGCAAGCGUUGUCCGGAAUUAUUGGGCGUAAAGGGCUCGCAGGCGGUUUCUUAGUCUGAUG
Molecule: ribosomal RNA, 518 nt
Filed under: Bacillus licheniformis
Lineage: Bacteria; Bacillati; Bacillota; Bacilli; Caryophanales; Bacillaceae
Description: bacterial SSU rRNA
Rfam family: Bacterial small subunit ribosomal RNA
Source: RNAcentral